This 1104-nucleotide ribosomal RNA is filed under the name uncultured bacterium. RNAcentral describes it as "bacterial SSU rRNA". It matches the Rfam family "Bacterial small subunit ribosomal RNA", at positions 64 to 1157 of the family's 1533-position model. The record is from RNAcentral.
GAGCUAUCUGAACCUUCGGGGAACGAUAACGGCGUCGAGCGGCGGACGGGUGAGUAAUGCCUGGGAAAUUGCCCUGAUGUGGGGGAUAACCAUUGGAAACGAUGGCUAAUACCGCAUAAUAGCUUCGGCUCAAAGAGGGGGACCUUCGGGCCUCUCGCGUCAGGAUAUGCCCAGGUGGGAUUAGCUAGUUGGUGAGGUAAGGGCUCACCAAGGCGACGAUCCCUAGCUGGUCUGAGAGGAUGAUCAGCCACACUGGAACUGAGACACGGUCCAGACUCCUACGGGAGGCAGCAGUGGGGAAUAUUGCACAAUGGGCGCAAGCCUGAUGCAGCCAUGCCGCGUGUAUGAAGAAGGCCUUCGGGUUGUAAAGUACUUUCAGCAGUGAGGAAGGUGGUGUGCUUAAUACGCACAUCAUUUGACGUUAGCUGCAGAAGAAGCACCGGCUAACUCCGUGCCAGCAGCCGCGGUAAUACGGAGGGUGCGAGCGUUAAUCGGAAUUACUGGGCGUAAAGCGCAUGCAGGUGGUUUGUUAAGUCAGAUGUGAAAGCCCGGGGCUCAACCUCGGAAUUGCAUUUGAAACUGGCAGACUAGAGUACUGUAGAGGGGGGGUAGAAUUUCAGGUGUAGCGGUGAAAUGCGUAGAGAUCUGAAGGAAUACCGGUGGCGAAGGCGGCCCCCUGGACAGAUACUGACACUCAGAUGCGAAAGCGUGGGGAGCAAACAGGAUUAGAUACCCUGGUAGUCCACGCCGUAAACGAUGUCUACUUGGAGGUUGUGGCCUUGAGCCGUGGCUUUCGGAGCUAACGCGUUAAGUAGACCGCCUGGGGAGUACGGUCGCAAGAUUAAAACUCAAAUGAAUUGACGGGGGCCCGCACAAGCGGUGGAGCAUGUGGUUUAAUUCGAUGCAACGCGAAGAACCUUACCUACUCUUGACAUCCAUAGAACUUUCCAGAGAUGGAUUGGUGCCUUCGGGAACUAUGAGACAGGUGCUGCAUGGCUGUCGUCAGCUCGUGUUGUGAAAUGUUGGGUUAAGUCCCGCAACGAGCGCAACCCUUAUCCUUGUUUGCCAGCACUUCGGGUGGGAACUCCAGGGAAACUGCCGGUG